Molecule: ribosomal RNA, 433 nt
Filed under: uncultured bacterium
Lineage: Bacteria
Description: partial 16S ribosomal RNA
Rfam family: Bacterial small subunit ribosomal RNA
Source: RNAcentral
AACGAACGCUGGCGGCAUGCCUAACACAUGCAAGUCGAACGAGACCUUCGGGUCUAGUGGCGCACGGGUGCGUAACGCGUGGGAACCUGCCCUUAGGUUCGGAAUAACUCCCCGAAAGGGGUGCUAAUACCGGAUAAUGUCUUCGGACCAAAGAUUUAUCGCCUUUGGAUGGGCCCGCGUUGGAUUAGCUAGUUGGUAGGGUAAAAGCCUACCAAGGCGACGAUCCAUAGCUGGUCUGAGAGGAUGAUCAGCCACACUGGGACUGAGACACGGCCCAGACUCCUACGGGAGGCAGCAGUGGGGAAUAUUGGACAAUGGGCGAAAGCCUGAUCCAGCAAUGCCGCGUGAGUGAUGAAGGCCUUAGGGUUGUAAAGCACUUUUACCCGGGAUGAUAAUGACAGUACCGGGAGAAUAAGCUCCGGCUAACUCCGUG